GAUGAACGCUGGCGGCGUGCCUAACACAUGCAAGUCGAACGGGAAUCUUCGGAUUCUAGUGGCGGACGGGUGAGUAACGCGUAAGAAUCUAACUUCAGGACGGGGACAACAGUUGGAAACGACUGCUAAUACCCGAUAUGCCGCAAGGUGAAACCUAAUUGGCCUGGAGAAGAGCUUACGUCUGAUUAGCUAGUUGGUGGGGUAAGAGCUUACCAAGGCGACGAUCAGUAGCUGGUCUGAGAGGAUGAGCAGCCACACUGGGACUGAGACACGGCCCAGACUCCUACGGGAGGCAGCAGUGGGGAAUUUUCCGCAAUGGGCGAAAGCCUGACGGAGCAACGCCGCGUGAGGGAGGAAGGUCUUUGGAUUGUAAACCUCUUUUCUCAAGGAAGAAGUUCUGACGGUACUUGAGGAAUCAGCCUCGGCUAACUCCGUGCCAGCAGCCGCGGUAAU
RNAcentral lists this ribosomal RNA (453 nucleotides) under uncultured cyanobacterium. RNAcentral's name for it is "bacterial SSU rRNA". It matches the Rfam family "Bacterial small subunit ribosomal RNA", at positions 28 to 524 of the family's 1533-position model. Lineage: Bacteria; Bacillati; Cyanobacteriota. The record is from RNAcentral.